RNAcentral lists this ribosomal RNA (318 nucleotides) under uncultured eukaryote. Its description in RNAcentral is "partial 18S ribosomal RNA". It matches the Rfam family "Eukaryotic small subunit ribosomal RNA", at positions 1470 to 1796 of the family's 1831-position model. The record is from RNAcentral.
CCCUUAGAUGUUCUGGGCCGCACGCGUGCUACACUGAGUAAAUCAAUGGGUAAGGGAACACGAAAGUGCAACCUAAUCUUGAAAUUUGCUCGUGAUGGGGAUCGACGGUUGCAAUUUUCCGUCGUGAACGAGGAAUGCCUUGUAGGCGCGUGUCAUCAUCACGCGCCGAAUACGUCCCUGCCCUUUGUACACACCGCCCGUCGCUCCUACCGAUUGAAUGUUCCGGUGAGCUCUUCGGACUGCGCGGUCUGCAGUUUCUGCGUUCCGUGCGGAAAGUUGCGCAAACCUUAACAUUUAGAGGAAGGAGAAGUCGUAACA